Molecule: long non-coding RNA, 3374 nt
Filed under: Mus musculus (house mouse)
Lineage: Eukaryota; Metazoa; Chordata; Mammalia; Rodentia; Muridae
Description: long non-coding RNA chr3:53099801-53103175
Source: RNAcentral
ACAAGUUCCGGGACAUGUACUGCCAGUCCUGAGAUUUCCCGUGGGUUGGUCCAAUGUGAGCUGUCAAAAAAGGUAGAAAAUAUGAAGCCAAUGAAAUAGAAAAUAUAAAUAUUAUAUUAGACUCUUUCACCAUUCAAAAAUAUUCCUACAAGGGCCAUUUCAACUAAAAUGCUUCUAUAAUACAUUCAGAACACGUGUUGGCUCACCAUCUAGAUUGCUGAAAGAUAUUGGCAAACUAUUUUUCAAAGAGGUAUCUUGGGUCUUGUGUUGUUUACCAGAAGACAACUUGUAUAAGGCCCAAAAUACCCACAUUUCAAUACUUCAGUAUCUUGGAAAAGUGCUAAGUACCUAUCUUCACUACUAACUGGGAAAUUUCAGUUCUUUUGAAGUCAACAAACAUACAAUGAGGAUUUACUGAAUGAUAGAAAAACAUGGAGGGCUUUGAACAGUAUGACCCUAAAGCAUUUAAACUUCACUCUGAAUGUUGGAUAAGCCAUUGAAGGCGGGAUGGAUGCUGGUAGAUUUCCCCCUUUAGGAAGAUUGCCUGCAGGGAAUAGAUGCGUAGGAAGAAAGGAAGGGUGCCACGGAGUCUAGAAGUCCAGCCAAUAGACUGUUCCAGCAUUUGGAGCUGGAGAGAAUGAGACAGACUUGGCAAUGCAGGAGGUCAAUAUGGAGGAGGCUGCAAAUGUGGAUAUGGUGAACACAUAGUUUACUUUCCCUGGCUAGAUGGUUCACAUCAAAAUAGAACACUUUAAUAAGGACCCCUGAACCAUCUAUUAGCCCAAACUGAAAGUGCCCUAGACAACAUGUAUCAGAGGGGAAUGGAAUGUAAGGGUGAAACGUCUGACGGUAGAUACUCGGUAGUAGAUGAUCCCAAUCAAAGAUGAUGUCCAGAGGACUUGAGGUUAUCUUAGAUUUGGGAUCUAAAACAUGGAGACAAUGUAACUAUUUUUAAAACCGAGGUGGGGGAAGUAUGAGUUACAUCUGACCCCCUGACACACUAACCUACCUAGAGCAUGAGUAUAUAACAAGUGUUAUUUUCACUUAUUCUCUUUGUUUUUCAUUGUUUCUUUUCCAAUCAGCAAAUUGCAUUUUAAAUAGACCUGGGUAGGCAGGAACUAAUGAUAUAAUUUAGAAGUGUAAAUAUUCUCAUUACCCCCCUACCGUCCGCAGCAUUUGUCUUUGGAGCUUUCCGGAGCAGUUGGCAAGCCCUUCCCUUUAGCACCAUGGUAGGGUUCCUUUAAAUCCGUUUCCAGAAAAUCUAUUGUCUGGGGAAUCACAUAGGGAGAUGAGAAGUUUUAAAAACCUGGUCUUCUAAAACUCCAGGCGUAGUCUGAUUUCCAAUAUAAAAACAAAAGUUGCCAUUCUGUGGGGUGUUUAAAGUAAUACGAGGCUGGUAUAAGAGGCUCAGUGUGUUGGGCUGGACAGCAGUAUUGUUAUGGCUCCCUCCUGUGCAGGCACUUUGGAUGUUUGCUUUGUGUUGAGACGAUUGUCUCUGGGAUUGUAAAUUACUUAGGCAGCCUCAUCACAGUCAAUUAAAUUCAACAUCCAAUUUUCAUCAAGGUUUUCCUUUUAUCUAAUUCUACUGUGCAGCGGAUUGAGGCUUGUGGAGGUCAAGUACCUUGGCUAAGGUCAUCUGGCAUGUUAAUGUCUUAGCUUAGGUAAGUUUAGACCCUGUUGAUUCCAUGAUUCAUUCACCUGUCUGCUAAUUAGCACCUCUCCAUCCUUGUUGCUUAGCUUGUGAACUGCCUGUUUUAAGAGUUCUCAACACCCAGUGGGAUUUAUGGGAAAUCUGUAAGCUCAUGAAUUAUCUUUUAUCUGGAAAAUAAGAAAAUAGAAAUCAAUUAUGAUAAUAUCUGGUGUGCAGGAAGGGGGUCUCUAGGGAUUUGAUAACCCCUGCCAGCAAAAUCAACACUGGGCUACUUGGGUCCUUGACUAUAGUUGAAUGAUAAUCCAUAUACUAUGUGGUAUUCAAGGCUGGCAUGGUGGAAGGUGGGAAGGCCUGCAAGUGAAUUACUUCAUUCCAGGGGCAUGAAGUUUUCCAGGGCACAAAUAUUCUGCAUUCAUUUCCUAGAGCCUGCUGGAAGUGUGGCGUAGCUGUUCUGUUGAUGUCGGGGGAGGGAAUUGUCUACAAAGACACAAAUAUGAAGCUUACAGGAAUCCAGCUGAGACAUGAUUCCAGAAGGGUUAGACAACUGGAUCCUGUAGUUAAUUAACCCUCUUCGACUUCAUCCUUCUAGAAUUUGCUAAGACGCAAAACACACAGAGAGUUUCUUGGUUGUAAUUUAAUCGACGAAACUAAGUUACAUACCAUGAACGUAAUGGUGGGUACACUGUAAUUAUAUAACUUUUGAGGAAUGAAAUCAUCUAAAAGCUUGGGCGCAAGCUAUGUUUUUAUUUUUUGCCCACCCCUGGGAAACUGUUUCCUGUCUUGGUUUUCCCUUUGGUGAAUAACACUUUGCUUUUUUAUUUCUAAGGCACUCUUUCUUCUCCUCUGUCAUCACUGCUCACCCAUCACCCUGGCUGGGAAGAUGCUGGCAGUGUUAAUGCAGUGAGCCAGUUAAUCACCUAGCUCAGCAGAGAUGCAGGGCUGCUUCGUGGGCUGGCCCUAAAGACAUGAUUUAAAACAAUGCCUUAAAAAGAUUAUCAAACAAAGGGGAGCAUUUAGUGAGCUGUUAAGCGGACGAGAAAUCCCCAGGAAGGAGAAAGGGACAGCCUUUAUCUUGCCAGAAGGGCAAAUGGUAAAGGUGAAGUGUCAACUGAGACACAUUUAUGUCAGUUUGAGUGACUAAAGGCCAAUUUGGCACCCCGUGUGUUUGGAUCAUAAGCUGUAAAAUGCAUGACCUUGUUUCCUGCUGCUGAUUUAUGGCUCUGUACACUUUGGGCUUUUUCUUUUCAUUCCUGGAAGAAGAAAAAGAAAAAAACCUCAAUCCUCAGAAGAAAAAUAGCAAACUUGAAGCAGUUGCUGAAGUUUGUAGGCACAUCGUUCCUUGAGGGCAACGCUGGCAUAGCUGAGGGAACAGAAGCAACGGAGACCAUACCUCGUCAGAAAUACCACUGAGUGUGAAAUAGAAUGAGAUUCUUCUCCAGGUCAAGUGGGCAGAGCUGUCUGAGGUGCAGUCGCUCCACUUAGAGGGGAUUCUGGUCUCAUCAGGAUCAAAGGAGGCCCAGAUGUGCAGCGAGGGCACAGCCGGUUCUGAAGGAGCAUGCAGGUUCUAGGAGGUCGCUAUUUAUCGAUUUGAUCUUAUUCCUGUAAAUGCCUCAAAAGCUCAAGUGCUCCUGCCGGCUCUUUGAGCUUCGUUUCUACUGUGUGACAUUACACUACAAGAGCGGUUCCUGAUCUUGUUAUUUUCCUCGAGAUUUUGGAGGGUUGG